UACGGGGGGGGCAAGCGUUGUUCGGAAUUACUGGGCGUAAAGGGCUCGUAGGCGGUCGCAUAAGUCGGUCGUGAAAUCCCUCGGCUCAACUGAGGAAUGGCGUCCGAAACUGCGCGACUUGAGUGCCGGAGAGGGUGGCGGAAUUCCAGGUGUAGCGGUGAAAUGCGUAGAUAUCUGGAGGAACACCGGUGGCGAAGGCGGCCACCUGGACGGCAACUGACGCUGAGGAGCGAAAGCCAGGGGAGCAAACGGG
Molecule: ribosomal RNA, 253 nt
Filed under: uncultured bacterium
Lineage: Bacteria
Description: partial 16S ribosomal RNA
Rfam family: Bacterial small subunit ribosomal RNA
Source: RNAcentral